Molecule: long non-coding RNA, 5517 nt
Organism: Mirounga angustirostris (Northern elephant seal)
Lineage: Eukaryota; Metazoa; Chordata; Mammalia; Carnivora; Phocidae
Exons: 3
Source: RefSeq, a predicted model, not a curated record
CAUUUGAACUUUGCCUCAUCUUUUUCAACUAUCACUCUUCGAACAAGAACAGGAUUUCUUAAGUGCACUCUAUAGGGCACUGGAGGCAGAAUGCAGUUUCCAGGGCCACACUCCAAGCCAAGUGAAUCACAGUUUCUGGGGAUGGACUCUGGGCAUCUGUAUUUCUAACAAGCUCCUCAGACCAUGUGGACAUUCACUGACCUUUGAGAACCACGGAUCCAGAGGGGAAGGCCCGGGGUCCUAUGUACUGAAUGCUUUCUGGAUGUCAGCCUCUGCACAAGGGAGAGAAAUAGCUUUGGUUUGGUUUUUGAAAAGCCAAACUCCAGAUGAGGAAACAGAUGUGGAAGAGGUAAAAUCGUUUGCCUACCUCACACCAAUAACCUGUGGUGUCUUUCGACUCUGUAUUUCUGGCUCAAUGCUGAGCUGUUACCUCCCAAGCCGAACUGCGGUGGCCCUAUUUCCCACACUGGAAACUGAAACUCAUGACUUCACAGAGUCCUCACUGAAAGAGACAAUGCUCCUUGAAGAUGGAAGCCCCGCCCCUCACCCGGUCACACUCAGACUGGGACCUAUGGCUCUGGGGAGAGCCAUAACUACUGUUAACAGGAACCCUUUGACACCUUUGGAGGAAAGGAAUGUAGACUCAUCCUCUUGUCAUCGCAGAAUCCCUUGACUCCGCCAGAUAUUCCCCACCACACCGAGGUGUGGAAGGCUUCUUUUUCUCAUUUCGAGGUAAGACCACAUGUGGCUACACCAGGGAGCCCCACAUCGUGGUUGUCAGCAGAACGUGCGUAGAGAGAAGUUGGUGCUUUCCAUCGAGGGAGACGGAAAAGACUGUUUCCCCUUUCAUCGGAAAUCUUCCUCCUUAGGAGGUGCUCAAAGGCUUGUCAUUUGCCCAGAUGUCCUUCUGAGCAGGCCUCUCCUUGGCCACGGCAAGGAUCAGUAACGUCACGGAAGGCUCUGUUGUCCAAGGUGGGAGCUUCUAGCCACAAGUGGCUACUGGAAUUUAUACUAUUUGAAAUGAAAUAAGAUCCACCAUUCCUAUUGUUAGUUGCACGAGCUAUAACAUUUCAAGUGCCGGUGGCGUUCAUACCGGACCGCGUGGCCACGGGACACUCCUGUCAUCGCAGCAAGUCUGAUUGGAUGGCGGUACUCUAAGGCAAGCUGCUUACCAGAGGCCACCUUACUGGUCCCAGAGGGGGUGACCUGCACUGUGGUCCUGAGGGGCCCACAUGAGGCUAUCCCCAGCAUGGGUGUGGUCAUGGGGUGAAAACUUUUUUUUAAGAUUUUAUUUAUUUAUUUGAGAGAGAGAGAGCACAAGCAGAGGGAGAGGAAGAGGGAGAGGGAAAGGGAGAAGCAGACCCCCCGCCGAGCAGGGAGCCUGACACGGGGCUCGAUCCCAGGACCCUGGGAUCAUGACCUGAGCCGAAAGCAGACGCUUAACGACUGAGCCACCCAGGCGCCCCACUGGGGUGAAAACUUAAUGAUACUUUCAAUCAACAUGUAUUUCUUACAUACAGCACUUCAUUCAAGGCCACUCAAAUGAGCGUGGGAAAUCCUGACACAUUUCUGUUGUCUCGGAGUUCAUAAUUUACAUGGACUGAAAUGGCCUGGGAAGAGGGGCUAAGGACAGGAGAGGUGACAGAGGGACACGGAAGAGAUGGGACCUGAGAGCUACACAGGCAGUGAGCUGGGCGACUUGCUGAUGGGACCCUGACUGGACAGCAUGUGGGGUGUGCGGUGUGGACAUGAACUCUGGAACUCACAGUCUUCGGGCUCGACGUCCGAGUGGCUGUCCUCCCCUGACCUCUCUUGUGCCUCCUCCUUGGCAGGUUCCGGCAUCUUUGGGUCCCGUUACCCCUCCCAGAGCACAAGGCUGAGGGUGGAGGGCGAGUGCCACCAGCCCCUCACCCAGAACCCUUUCAGGGUACACCUUAUGCUGCCUGCCCGCCCCCAGGUCUGGGGGACCUGAACCGGCCCCCUCUCUGCCCUAGAAGCACAGCCCUUAGGAGGCUCCAUCCUCCUGGGUUCAAGCCUCCCUGGGACGUGCAUUUCCUGACCUGACCUGACAUGGGCCACCACCAGAGUUUCACUUUUCAUUUUCUGACUGAAUCAGGAUGUGCCCUUUUGGGAAGGGGGGGUAGCCAAGGCAUUCCAGAGCCCGGAACAGGCCCCACGGCCCAGCAGGGAGGGAGGAAGGAAGAACCAGCGCGAGCGCACCUCGGGCAGCUCCCCUGACUAGCAGACGGCAGGGAAGGAAGCCAGUGUGUGUCCAGUGCCAGGGCGGGCCAUGUGCCAGCACCCCUCCCUCUUGAUAGGAUCUCUCUUCUAGCCCUCACCACAUUUGUCACAGUGCCUGAGGGCCAGCUUAGUGGCCCCUCCACACACAUACACACACAGUGAGCGGGCCCAGGUCUACAGCCACCUGCCCCUGGCCACUCCACUCUUUGGGGAUGUGGAUUAGAACUCUGGUCUUCGCGUUCCCGGACAUCACCCCACUAUCCCUCCUGUCCCAGGUAAAUGUCUGGGAACAGCCCCCCAUUUUUUUUUUUUGCUUCAACUUCAAACAUAGAAAAGACAAAAAGAGGAGGCAUAAUGGUUAGACAGUCCUGGGUAAAUUCCGAGGGCUUCAUUUCUAAGAUGGGAGGUGAUUUUAUUGAAACCUUGCAUGGUCUCCAUUAGCUUAUUUGUAAAAUAAUAGGAGUCUGGUCUGAUCCAGAGAUCCACAUUAAAUAGGCUUCCCCUUUAAUGCUUUUGAAGGGAAAUAAAAAACACGAGUAGCAGAGUGAAGGAGGUAUGAGUUGUGAGUUGACUGCCUCUGGCUUCGUUGUUCCAAGAAAACUGUUAAAAAGGAGCAACAUGUGAAUAUCCUAAUUCCCUGGCAAGUCCAACUUGGUGAGUCUUUGCACUUUCUAGAAAAUGUGGUGUGGGAUAGGUGGGAGAUGAGAGGGAGAGAGAGGGCGAGGGAGGAAGAGAGAGAAUAUGAAAAUGAACAUGAAUGAACUUGGGCAUCCGGGAGACCAGCUGAACUUUGGGGCUUCUUUGUCUCAAAGAACUUUCCUUGUCCCUCAGCUCUUGGAAGCACAGAACACUUCCGAUGGUUUUAGGGAUCAGUGAGGGGGAAGAGAGGGAGGAAAAACAUGGGGAGGUUGUUUGAUCAGCCCCAGAGCAGUCUGAUCAAUGCUCAGAGUGGAUACCAGCUCAGGAGUGAAGGCUGCUUUUCCAGGUUGGUCCUGGCUGUAAACUGGGAUAUGAAUUUUACAAGCAGGAAAGGCUCUGAACAUACAAGUUUGACUGACAGGAAAAGUCCAUGGCCCGUGGGCCCUGGAUGGAAGGGCUGGGCCUCUGGGGACAUCUUCCUGGCUGCAAAAAGGGCUAGGCUGCUUGAAAGGUACUUGAAACAAAUAAAACAGUGACUCUAAAACAUACCCAUAUGUCACGUUCUUACAGAAAAAUACUCUCUGUAAUUAGUUACAAGCUUCAGGGAAUAAAAUCCAAUUUACCUGUCAAAGAAGAAAGGCUAAGCUGCCCCCACCCCAGGCUGCUGGUGGGGGGGACACGGCUUGCAGGCCCUUCCCUCCCCUAGCCCCUGCUUUUCUCCUCCCGCCCCCUUUAUUUGUGAGGACUAGAAAAAAAAUAGGAAAGUUGGAAAAAUCCUCUAAAGACACACAGUGUUCCAAGCACAAUCAGGCCACUAAUUACUGUUAAGCCCGAGCCCCUUUUUGUGUUCUCGGAGGGGGGGGACUUCAGUGUGUAGCAACCACUUGGGUCUUUUCAUGAGUUCGGGCUAACUCCUGAAUAGCAGAUUUUUUUCCCUUCUCUUUUCAACAUUUGCUUCUGCCCACCCUUCUUUUCCUUCUGCCUUCAUCUCCAACUUCACCUUCUCCUUCUGUCCUUUUUUUCUUUCUCUCUCUCUUUUUUUUUGGUGCUUUUUUCCCCUUACCCACCACCUUCCCUCUAUUCUUUUUGCUUUUCUGAUAGCAUUUUUCUUCUGGCGUGGUGUUUUAAGUCUCUAAAUGAAACUUGACUGCCCCCACGGCCGGCUGGAGAAGCACAAAGGCCUCCCAUUCCACUGGCUACAGUAACGCCAUUGUGUGUCCUAACAAUGCACUAAUUGGUGGUGACAAUUGUGGGGCUGGGAGGAAGAGGGGGGCGCUCUUUUCCAAUCAGUGGGCCACCAGGAUAAAAGGAGAGGAGAAGGAGGAGGAGGAUGGCAGGCCCGGGCUCCUGGUGAGAGGGAGACCGAUCUGCAGAGGGGGCAUAGUACUUGGGGCUCGUGUUGGGCUUUCUAAAUUAAUAAUACAAAUGAAGGAGAAAAGAAUUGUUUGGGGGAGAAAGUAGACUUUGCCUCAGACAACUUCAGGGUCCUGGUGGUGGCGGGGGGGGAGGUGAACUGCCCUCAGUUCAUCUCUAUGGGAAGGGACCUGAGUGGCCUCCGCAUCUCCGUCCAGCGUUCCAGUGUUUCCGCUAAAGGAUGGGAAAGUCGGAGAGGCCGGUGAGAAAAGGCUCUGGGGGAAGUGUUCUCCGGGAUGGUCGGGAUGGUCAAAAGGCAGGUGUUGAGGCUGGUGUGUGGUGAUGCCCCUGUUUCCACCACAUUUCUCAGCGAGGGGAGGAAGCCAGAAAGGGAGAAGGCUGAGCCAUUCGCCUUGUGGCACAUUAGACUCUCACGAAGUCCAGGGGCUCUGGGCGGCGACUCUGACCUUUAAACUGGUCCAGAAGAGGAGUUGGGCAGGAUUGUGGGCCAGAGCACAAUGGUCGCCACAUGAUGCUGCUGGGACUCUUGGGGCCUGCUGGAGAAGGUGCGAGAGGCCCCAGAAUGUCCCCCAGAGGCUGUGGGAUCCUCCCAGCCACGUGGCUCUGGCUGACACCCUUCCUUUGCACAGAAUGACUCACCUUCCUAGACCGACGUCAAACGUGUUCUCUCCUGGAAGCCCCUCCUGGCCGGGUGGGGUCGGCCCACACCCUCUUUCAUGUUCUCACUCUGCACCCUGAAAACCACAGGACCUGACCUCUAGUCCUCUCUCCUGUGGGUGCCAGGCCCAGGGAUAAGGGCCCUUAUCCACAUCAUUUCACCUAAAUCUCACAACAGCCCCAGGACUGGAGGAUGAUUUUUAUCUCCAUAGAGAAGGCAAUGGGGAAACUGAGGCCUCUUAGCCUCCCUAAGAGGUUCAGGAUCGCACUCGAGGUCACCCAGCGUCAAAGCAGAGAGGCUGGGAAUCUAUCUAACUGUUGCAACAAGGAUGCUAGCUCCCGGGCCCUCUUUGCUUCCAUGCUCACCUUUCCCCCGUCACUGGUCUCUGGAGGGCAGAGGCUCUUUGUGGUCUUUACAUCCCCAGCACCUAACACAGCACCAGACAUACAGGAGGCUUCCAGAAAGGUUUGCUGCCUGAAGGGGGAGGUGGGGAGGGCUGAAUAACGGGCAGUUAUUGCCAAUUAUCCUCCAUGUCCCUUUGGGUCUCAGACUUCAGCCUGCAUCAGAAUCCCCUGGGGUGGAAGGUUGCUCAAAGACAGAUCCCU